This 1466-nucleotide long non-coding RNA is filed under the name Mus musculus (house mouse). RNAcentral describes it as "long non-coding RNA chr4:122847492-122848958". Lineage: Eukaryota; Metazoa; Chordata; Mammalia; Rodentia; Muridae. The record is from RNAcentral.
UCUGUAGACCAGGCUGGCCUUGAAUUCACAGGGAUCCACCUGCCUCUGCCUCCCGCUUGCUGGAAUUAAAGGUGUGUGCCACUGCCCAGCAAUUUUUUAUUUAAUUUUCUAAAAGCUUUAUUUUGUAUUUAUGUAUUAUAUUCACAUCAUUUCCAGCCCUCCAACCUCUAGCUCCUCCCACUUCCUCCUAAAUUCAUUGCCUCUUCUUUAAUUAUCAUCAGUGUGUGCGCUCGCGCAUAUUGUUGGGGAUAAAACCCAGGGUCUCCACGUGUGAAGCAAGAACUCUGCCACAAAGCUGCACCCGAGCUCACAUUUGGCCUUCUGAACCCAAGGUGCUCCAUAUCUGUGGAUUCAAAGCUCUACAGCUGAGAACUAUUCUGGGAAAGGCAUUUGUGUGUGCCUAGAAUCCCAGAAUUUAGGGGUUGGGGAUAGGAGGAUUGAGUUUGAGUUCAGCCUGGGCUUUAUUAGCCCCUACCCUAUCUUCAUAAAAAGAGAAAGGGGAGGGGUGGCAAGGGAGGGCAGAGAAAAGUAUUCAAGAAACCAUUGAAUCUGUACUGUUAAUAUACAGACUCUUUUCUCUCUCCCUAAACAACACACUGUAGUAACAACCCAUGGAACAUUUGCACUGCAUUUAGUGUCAAAAGUAAUUCACACAGGAAGGGGAAGUGCACGGAGGAAAGUAUGACUGGGGAGAGGAAUGGGGACGCGGAACCAGAUGAGUUUCCCAGAAAGAGGAUGAGGUAACCAUGUGCUGCAACAGCCACACGUGCUGUAUGUAACAGCCACACAUGGGAGGCUGGGGCAGAGGUCCCUGGCGGAUUGCCAGAGGGAAACUGGCAGUACUUGGACGUUUUUAUUUUUCCUGUUUCACGGUGCCUGCUACAGUGGCACUCAACAUGUGAUUAUUAGAGUAAUACAUGGCUGUCGUUUUCCUACCCAGGUGUCUUUGGACUCCCCCGAUGCCCAGGAGAGAGUUCUCACAUCUGCGACUUCAUCAGGAAGUCACUUAAUGCCGGUGCUUACUCCAAACUUGUGCAAGAACGGUGAGUGCAGCCAGCUGUCAGGUGCAGACUGUGGGAGUGCCCUGCUAGCAUGUGUGCUCUCUGACUCCAGGAGCGGCUGCUAGGGGUAUCACCACAGUUCAUAACUCUAGUCUCGGGAUCCUCUGGCCUCCAGGAGCAUUGCCUGCACAUGGUGCGCAAACAUACAUGCAGGUAAAAAACCCAUAUACAUAAAAAUAAAAAUAAAUAAAUGUGGGGCUGGAGAGAGAGUUCAGCAGUUAAGAGGCUGUUCUUCCAGAGGACCAGGGCUCAAUUGCCAGCACCUACAUAGCAGCUCACAACUAUCUGUACCUCCAGCUCCAUAGGACCUGGCUCUCUCAGGGACACAGACAAGCAUGUAGUCAAAACACCAGUGCACAAUUAAAACUAAUUUGAAAAAAUAAAAAAUAAACUAAUGAACAAAUC